AUUCAUAUAAUUCAAAUUAGAAUAAUACACUGAAGUUGUGUAAGUGACUUAUAGUCUAUGAAUA
This 64-nucleotide transfer RNA is filed under the name Eiconaxius baja. Its description in RNAcentral is "tRNA-Phe". The record is from RNAcentral. Lineage: Eukaryota; Metazoa; Arthropoda; Malacostraca; Decapoda; Axiidae.